This 497-nucleotide ribosomal RNA is filed under the name uncultured bacterium. Its description in RNAcentral is "partial 16S ribosomal RNA". It matches the Rfam family "Bacterial small subunit ribosomal RNA", at positions 28 to 507 of the family's 1533-position model. The record is from RNAcentral.
GAUGAACGCUGGCGGCGUGCCUAAUACAUGCAAGUCGAGCGAACAGACGAGGAGCUUUCCCUUCUGACGAUACCGGCGGACGUGUUAGUAACACGUUGAUAACCUCCCUAUUAGACUGGGAUACCCUCGGGAAACGCCAGCUAAUACCGGGAAUUAUAUUCAAUCACAUCGUUCAAUAGUGAAAGACGGUUUUGAUAUCACUUAUAGAUGGAUCUGCGCGGCAUUCGCUAGUUGGAAAGGUAACGGCUUACGAAGGCAACGAUGCGUAGCCGACCUGAGAGGGUGAUCGGAGACACUGGAACUGAGACGCGGACCAGACUCCUACGGGAGGGAGCAGGAGGGAAUCUUCCGCAAUGGGAGAAGGCCUGAAGGAGGAACGCCGCGUGAGUGAUGAAGGUCGUCGGAUCGUAAAACUCUGUUAUUAGGGAAGAAGAAAUGUGUAAGUAACUAUGCAGGUCUUGACGGUACCUAAUGAGAAAGCCACGGCUAACUACGUG